This 237-nucleotide long non-coding RNA is filed under the name Olea europaea subsp. europaea. The record is from RNAcentral. Lineage: Eukaryota; Viridiplantae; Streptophyta; Magnoliopsida; Lamiales; Oleaceae.
UUGACUCCAUCCCUCUCACCCUCUUUCUGCCGAUCAAAAUAUUUUUAAUUUCUAGAUACUUCUGAUAUUCUUUGUUUUUUGAUUUAUGGAUAAAGGAUGGGGCCUUAUUCUUGAAAAUUUUGGGCUUUUGCUAACAAGCCAGAUUUUUUGAUUUAAUUUAAGCCCCAGGUUGAAUCAAAGCCCUGGAAUUAUGUUUCUGGUGAAUCUGAGUGGCAGGGAUGAGCAGGUGGUGUAAGG